This 254-nucleotide ribosomal RNA is filed under the name uncultured bacterium. RNAcentral describes it as "partial 16S ribosomal RNA". It matches the Rfam family "Bacterial small subunit ribosomal RNA", at positions 524 to 776 of the family's 1533-position model. The record is from RNAcentral.
UACGUAGGGCGCAAGCGUUGUCCGGAUUUAUUGGGCGUAAAGAGCUCGUAGGCGGUGUGUCGCGUCGGCCGUGAAAACCUGCAGCUUAACUGUGGGCUUGCGGUCGAUACGGGCAUCACUGGAGUUCGGCAGGGGAGACUGGAAUUCCUGGUGUAGCGGUGAAAUGCGCAGAUAUCAGGAGGAACACCGGUGGCGAAGGCGGAUCUCUGGGCCUUACCUGACGCUGAGGCGCGAAAGCUAGGGGAGCGAACAGG